Molecule: ribosomal RNA, 202 nt
Filed under: Bacillus manliponensis
Lineage: Bacteria; Bacillati; Bacillota; Bacilli; Caryophanales; Bacillaceae
Description: partial 16S ribosomal RNA
Rfam family: Bacterial small subunit ribosomal RNA
Source: RNAcentral
GGCGUAAGCGCGCGCAGGUGGUUUCUUAAGUCUGAUGUGAAAUCCCCGAGCCCAUCUUGGGAGGGGCAUUGGAUACUGGGAAACUUGAGUGCGGCAUAGGAAGGUGGAAUUCCAUGUGUAGCGGUGAAAUGCGUAGAGAUAUGGAGGAACACCCAGUGCGAAGGCAGCCAUCUGCUCUAAUACUGACACUGAGUGCGAAAGA